CUAAUCGUCAUGUCUUAGUAGCGGCGAGUGAGCGGCAAAAGCUCAAAUUUGAAAUCUGGCACUUUCAGUGUCCGAGUUGUAAUUUGAAGAAGGUAUCUUUGGGUCUGGCUCUUGUCUAUGUUUCUUGGAACAGAACGUCACAGAGGGUGAGAAUCCCGUGCGAUGAGAUGUCCCAGACCUAUGUAAAGUUCCUUCGAAGAGUCGAGUUGUUUGGGAAUGCAGCUCUAAGUGGGUGGUAAAUUCCAUCUAAAGCUAAAUAUUGGCGAGAGACCGAUAGCGAACAAGUACAGUGAUGGAAAGAUGAAAAGAACUUUGAAAAGAGAGUGAAAAAGUACGUGAAAUUGUUGAAAGGGAAGGGCUUGAGAUCAAACUUGGUAUUUUGUAUGUUACUCUCUCGGGGGUGGCCUCUACAGUUUACCGGGCCAGCAUCAGUUUGAGCGGUAGGAUAAGUGCAAAGAAAUGUGGCACUGCUUCGGUAGUGUGUUAUAGUCUUUGUCGAUACUGCCAGCUUAGACUGAGGACUGCGGCUUCGGCCUAGGAUGUUGGCAUAAUGAUCUUAAGUCGCCCGUCUUGAAACACGGACCA
RNAcentral lists this ribosomal RNA (585 nucleotides) under Lodderomyces parapsilosis. Its description in RNAcentral is "eukaryotic LSU rRNA". It matches the Rfam family "Eukaryotic large subunit ribosomal RNA", at positions 65 to 668 of the family's 3401-position model. Lineage: Eukaryota; Fungi; Ascomycota; Pichiomycetes; Serinales; Debaryomycetaceae. The record is from RNAcentral.